RNAcentral lists this long non-coding RNA (1256 nucleotides) under Felis catus (domestic cat). Its description in RNAcentral is "lncRNA (ENSFCAG00000041319.2)". The record is from RNAcentral. Lineage: Eukaryota; Metazoa; Chordata; Mammalia; Carnivora; Felidae.
GGGAGAAUGGUGAGUGGGUGGCUCUUGCCAUUUUUAACAUUGGUCAGGGGGCAUUUACCACUGGCCAUGCCAAAGCUUGUAAGAAAGAGUGUUAUCAGCACUUUUUCAGCAGCAGCAAUUUUUCCUACUUGGGUGAAGAAUUUUGUACUCGGCAUCCAAAGUGUUCACGAGAGACACAUCCAGGAAAAACGACUUGUGACAGCCAUAUUAUUAAUUUGCUUUUCUGGCCUUUGACUCAACCGCUGUGUCCCAUCCUGUAUCCCAAAUUCACCAAGAAAAUUGAAGAGUGGUGCGCAUACUGUAUAUCAUUGUCUCACCCUUAUGUUGUUUUGUUUUGUAUCAUCCAGGUGGCUGUAGGAACACGACAAAAAGAAAUGUCGCUUGCAAACUCUUUCUUGCUGAGAAAAAUGUUUCGGAGGCGUUAUGUCCCUAAGGUGGAAGAGCUGAGGGCCCUUCGUCAAAUGAGGCAGCAGGCUUUUGCUGAGGUCCUGGCAAGAGCAAUGGAACGUGAAGUCCCUAAGGAGGAAACGCUGCAGGAACUUCCUGAAAGGAGACAGCAGGCUGUUGCUGAGGUUGCCGCAGGAGUACAGGAGAAAGAUGUCCCUAAGGAAGAAAAGCUGCGUGCCCUUCCUGAAAGGAAGCAGAAGGCUGUGGCUGAGGUGGCCGUAGGAGCACGGGAGAAAGGUGUCCCUAAGGAGGAAAAGCGGCGGCCCCUUCCUCUAAGGGCGCAGAAGGCUGUGGCUGAGGUCAUCAAAAGAGCAAUGAAAUAUGGUGUCACUGCGGAGAAAAAGCUGCAGUCCGUUAGAGUAAGGAGGCAAAAGACUGUUGCAGAGGUGGCCAUAGGAGCACGAGAAGAAGGUGUCCCUCAGGAGGAAAAUGUGUGGGCCGUUCCUGUCAGGAGACACCAAGGUGUUGCUGAGGUUGCCGCGGGAGAAACAGAAUAUGGUGUCCCUGAGGAGGAAAAGAUGUGGGCCGUUCCUGUCAGGAGACACCAAGGUGUUGCUGAGGUUGCCGCGGGAGAAACAGAAUAUGGUGUCCCUCAGGAGGAAAAUAUGUGGGCCGUUCCUGUCAGGAGGCAGCAGGAUGUUGCUGAGGUUGCCGCGGGAGAAACAGAAUAUGGUGUCCCUGAGGAGGAAAAGAUGUGGGCCGUUCCUGUCAGGAGACACCAAGGUGUUGCUGAGGUGAACUUGCCUGUCUUUGCCUAUGGAAGACACGUUGAUUACUUAGUGUAUCUCCAGUCAUAUUCGGUGACAUAG